Long non-coding RNA from Acinonyx jubatus (cheetah), 1866 nucleotides. RefSeq lists it as uncharacterized. The transcript has 5 exons. NCBI's taxonomy places the organism in Eukaryota, Metazoa, Chordata, Mammalia, Carnivora, Felidae. The record is from RefSeq and is a predicted model, not a curated record.
AAGCAUGGCCUUUAUUGCCAGGUCCCAGGUUCUAAAAAAAUCACUUCCUCUGUCUUCACCAGACUAUUAUGUAUAUGGCAGCUAUUAGGCUUUCCCUUAAUUCUGAGGAGAUGCAAAAGGGGAUAGUGACUGACUAUAUAGAGCUCUAUAUAGUAUACAGAGCUCUAUUAUAGUAUAGAGCAUGUUCUCUGGAGCUUGGUUGCCUGAGUUCAAAUCCUGGCUCUACCACUUAUGUGAUCUGGGGCCAGUUACACAGAUUUUCUGCAUCUUGGUUUCCGCCUAUGUAAAAUGGUGUUAAUCACGUAGAUACUUCAUAGAGCUGUUAUGAGGGUUAAAUGGCUGAAUAUGUGUUACAGCAAUGCUGCGAGGUGGAGAUUAUUACGCUUGUUUUUAAAAACUGGCUAAGACAAUUUAAGAGGGUUGACUAAAGUUUGCAUUGCUAUGUGUGGCAGAGCUAUUGUUUGAACUCAGAGUCAGCGCUUCUUCAAUGUCUCCUCAAGGUCAUUAAAAAAAACCAAGUAGAUGGGGGAGGACCUGGUGUGUGCUCUCUCCUCAGCAUGGUCUUCUACAAGUCUUUGUUCUCCUGGAGAGGAGUAAGAGAUACUGCCCAGAUUCCCUCUCUUCACUGGCAUUCAGCCAACCCUCUAUUGACCCAACAAACACCUUGAGUGCUUAAAUAUGUACACCUAGUGAUGUCUUUUGCUAUCCUAUUUGUGACUACCUCAAAUGCCAGGUUUCUACAAAGUUAUAAAUUCCCUGAGAGCAUCCUAUGUGUCUUUGUUACUACUAACAGUGUUUUACACAAUGCCAGGCACACGGUAGAUUCUCAAAAAACUAUACAGCUGUUUCACAUAUUUUUUAAAUACUUUCUUCUUUGUGUUUUUAUAUGUUGUCUAAAUUUUGUAUAAUAAGCAUGUGGUUAUUUUUAUUUAUUUAUUUUAGAGAGAGACAGAGUGCGAGCAGAAGAGGGGCAGAGAGGGAAACACAGAAUCUGAAACAGACUCCAGGCUCUGAGCUGUCAGCACAAAGUCUGAUGCACGGCUCGAACUCAUGAAUUGAGAGAUCAUGACCUGAGCCUAAGUCAGACACUUAACUGAGUGAGCCACUCAGAUGCCCCAGCAUAUGCUGGGGUAUGUGGCUGUCCUUGCCCAAGGGAUCCUGAUUGAUCUUCUCUGGUGGCAACAGGGCUCAGCCCCCUCCUUCCUGCAGGAUAAAGGAAACCUUGGAAGAGAGGCAGUGACAAGGUUGAUGGCAAAAAGACCUCUAAGGAUUUCAGAAUAAAUACUUAGACACCACCUUAGAAUACGUAGAACUUUCUAGAAGGUCUGAAUGAAUACACCCUCCCCUACUUGAAACUUCAGGACAGCUGGCAGCUUAGGCCUUUUGUCCUCCAUCUGUGUCCAGCUAUUAGAGUUGUGCUGUGAUGUUAUUGAAUUGAAUCAAGAACCCAGGUGUGCUACCUCUUUCAGGCCCAUGUCAUCUUAAAGGUCCAAGAUCUACAGGCUAGUUGGAACAGAUGAGUAGAGGAAGAAGGAAAGAAUAUUUAUUGUUUUGACUCCAAAAUAUGGUGGCAAAACUUUGCAAAAUACAGAAGGUUAAAAGAUUGCCACAAUAUCUUGACAGUUUCGUUGUGGUUUGUUUUACAUACCACUGCAUGUUGUAUGUAGACAGAUUCAUAUUUAUGAGAAGCAGAGAAUGGCCCACCCUGACUCCUCACCUUGAUCUUAUCAGACAGCAUCUGACAAAUGAAACAACAGGAAGUUUUGCUGGAAGCUGUUGCUGGCUGGGGUUAAACGCAAGCAGUAAGUGGUCUAGAAAUGUUAUAAUACUUGGCAUUGACCAAUAUUGCCACCACAGUGUGGUAAA